Molecule: non-coding RNA, 120 nt
Organism: Aminobacter sp.
Lineage: Bacteria; Pseudomonadati; Pseudomonadota; Alphaproteobacteria; Hyphomicrobiales; Phyllobacteriaceae
Source: Rfam
CGAAUUUGUCGGGCCUACCUCCUCCCAGGUUUCCGACGAAUAGGUCAGCGCCUACCUCCUCCCAGACGCUGGCCACCAAUACGACACCCGCCGGACCUCCUCCCCCGGCGGGUGUUGUUU